GAUGAACGCUGGCGGCGUGCCUAAUACAUGCAAGUCGAGCGAACAGACGAGGAGCUUGCUCCUCUGACGUUAGCGGCGGACGGGUGAGUAACACGUGGAUAACCUACCUAUAAGACUGGGAUAACUUCGGGAAACCGGAGCUAAUACCGGAUCAUAUAUUGAACCGCAUGGUUCAAUAGUGAAAGACGGUUUUGCUGUCACUUAUAGAUGGUUUCGCGUCGCAUUAGCUAGUUGGUAAGGUAACGGCUUACCAAGGCAACGAUGCGUAGCCGACCUGAGAGGGUGAUCGGCCACACUGGAACUGAGACACGGUCCAGACUCCUACGGGAGGCAGCAGUAGGGAAUCUUCCGCAAUGGGCGAAAGCCUGACGGAGCAACGCCGCGUGAGUGAUGAAGGUCUUCGGAUCGUAAAACUCUGUUAUUAGGGAAGAACAAAUGUGUAAGUAACUAUGCACGUCUUGACGGUACCUAAUCAGAAAGCCACGGCUAACUACGUG
RNAcentral lists this ribosomal RNA (497 nucleotides) under uncultured bacterium. Its description in RNAcentral is "partial 16S ribosomal RNA". It matches the Rfam family "Bacterial small subunit ribosomal RNA", at positions 28 to 507 of the family's 1533-position model. The record is from RNAcentral.